CAGGGAGACAAUUAAUUGAUUGUGAUGUCUAGGUAAAAUAUCUUAGGCCGCAAUCCUGUCACCUUAGGUCGAUCGGUACCUCAGAUUUUUGUAUUAAUUUUAUAAUUAAUUCUUUGAUUUCAGUUCCUAAACUUGUCUAGGUCACACUCAACAAGGGUUUCUCCUGGGCCAUUAGCUCAGGUGGUUAGAGCGCACCCCUGAUAAGGGUGAGGUCCCUGGUUCAAGUCCAGGACGGCCCAUUCGUUGUUGGGGGUAUAGCUCAGUUGGUAGAGCGCCUGCUUUGCAAGCAGGAUGUCAGCGGUUCGAGUCCGCUUACCUCCACUGAAAACUACCCUGAUAACUAAAUCAGGAGAAAAUUUGUAAAUGUGACUUAGAAUUGUCUAUUGAAAAGAACCUAGCUUCUUAUCAUCUUUUAAAGUUGAUAAUAUGCUGGGCUCACAUGGAUUUAUCCAUGAGAAUUCAGUAGAACCUUGAAAACUGCAUAGAUUGAAAGAAUAAAGCAUCUCAUGGAUGCAUAGUUCUUUUUGAUUUUUUAGAUUCAAUUUCUAAAUCUUCAAUUUAAGAACUCAUGUUUAAUUCUUGAGUAAUAGCCGAGCACAAUUGAUUUUGUGUUUGUAUUUAA
This 622-nucleotide transfer RNA is filed under the name uncultured cyanobacterium. RNAcentral's name for it is "partial 16S-23S ribosomal RNA intergenic spacer". The stretch from base 249 to 321 matches the Rfam family "tRNA". The record is from RNAcentral. Lineage: Bacteria; Bacillati; Cyanobacteriota.